Molecule: long non-coding RNA, 2326 nt
Organism: Dermochelys coriacea (leatherback sea turtle)
Lineage: Eukaryota; Metazoa; Chordata; Testudines; Dermochelyidae
Exons: 2
Source: RefSeq, a predicted model, not a curated record
ACCAGGCUCCCACCCGUGUAGAGCCCAGCUGUGGCCCCCCUAGUCCAGGCACCCAUCCCCCUAACACCCAGAGCCCAGCCGUGGCCCUCCCAGCCCAGACACCAGCCCCCUACUGGCCAGGGAUCCACAGGGAGAAACAGCCUGUUGCUGGGUUCCAGGCUUGUGUGGAGUUUCCCGCACACCACCCUCUCCUUCCCUUGGGCAUGCAGGGAACUGCAGUUGCCGGAAACUCUCUACUCUCUCCCCCGUCCUCCCCACCACCACAGUGUCUUCUGUGUGCAAGCAGGGCUCAGCGGGGUCCAGCGGCCCCUGCUCGUGGCCAGCAGCAUUGCAGCCCAUUUCUUUGCAGGGGAAAGGAAAUUAUGUGCAAAAAACAUUAAUUUCUGCAAAAUUCUGCAUUGCACAGUGACGUGACGCAGAAUUCCCCCAGGAGUAUUAUUGUUCCCCCACUAGCAGAGUGAUUGUCAGAGUAACUGAGUUCACCCUUUGUGGACAGAUUGUCUCACUCCUUGUUAUUCUCACUUUUUCCAGGUAGUGCCUAAAAGUUGUUAUUUUUGUACCAUUUUUCUCAUUUAAAAUAUAUUUAUAACAAAGAGAAGGCACAAGGAGACAAAAAAAUAGUGUCAUUUCUGCCUCUGAUGCUCAAAGGAGAUGGGGUGAAUUGGAGGGAUUCGUUCCUUCCCCAUCACCAUCAUGAUACUUCCUCACCACUACAGCUUUAGAAUUUAUUCUAUCCCUCCAUCUCCCAAAGUGUCAUGUGACACACUGUUCUUAGCUCUCUGUGCUUAGGAAUCACAUACUUGUAAGCACUGUAGAUUAAAGUGUCACAGACCUAGAGGGGAAAUUUGAGUGGAUCCCAAAGCCAGUGUGAUUGUUCUGAUCUUAAAUCCCAGUUUCCAUUCUUGAAAAAGUGACUUUGGGGAUUUUUCCUGCUGAGCGGAUGGAAAGGCUGGCUGUUUUUCCCCAUUUCAAGGAUGCUAAAACGUUUGAAAAUAAUAAUGAGGUGGUGUUGAGUAAAGCAGGUUUGCAUGGAUCAUAGGAGAACACAGCGGAAUAAUUCGUCCUCCUGACUUUUGAAUCAUUAGAUAUACACUGUGAAUUUCGAGAGGAGAUUAUUACACCCUCUGGAAUUGUCAAGUUUCUCUGCAUUGUGGAUUUUUCUCUCUUUCCUGAAUGCCGUUUGGUCACGUGAUUGGAUAUUUUAUUAGACAAUGUGGAUCAGAUUUAUUAUGGACUUUGAAACAGAUUACCAUUUGCUAAAAUAGUCUUGUGGUUUUUUUCCCAUCCCUCCACGAUGACAUAGAGGAAAUUAUUUCAGUCACUGGGAGAGAAUACUGCAAUUUAUUGGGCAUGCUACCAAGGAACUAGUAGUGUAUUUUAAAUCUCUAUAUUGAAAUAGUGAACACCACAAAUGGUGCAACUAGCUGAAGUAAUUGGAUAUGAUCACACUGUUGUUCAUUUGGUUGGGUCAGUAUCGUUUCAGAUGAUCUGGGGAGAGAAUUUUACAGUAAGUGACUUGGAAGGAGGCAAAAUAUUUGGUUCCCAAAACAGUUGUGGCCCAGGAAGAUCCGUAUUAAAGAAUUUUGGGUCCCCCUGCCCACCUUCCUUAAACUAGACAGAACAUGUGAUAGACCAUAUGUAAAUAUGAGAACCUCUUCAUUUAUGAUAAUGAUUGUUAGAGUUAGAGCUUCUCAGCAGAAAAUUCAGAAGCACCACUGAAAGUGAAAUGAUUGUGUUCUUAUGCUAACUUAUACAGUAGCAUAGUGUAUUUUGAGUAUUAGAAAGAAUACAAGCAGAAUUUGAAUAUAAGAAUAAAAAUUAGCCCGACUGAGUGAAAAAAAGCAUUACCGUGUGCUGUGCUGCAUGUUUCAUGUACUGGAAGAAAACAUGUUUGUUUAAUAUAUUUUAUCGUCUUUUGUUUGUUUAGGGUUUUUUGUUAACCACAGUUCUCCAUUUUUACCUCAUUUGUUCACUUUGUUAUCUUUUUUUCAAUAAACCUAAUAAUUAUUUUUAUAGACUGCUUCAGAAUACAACAUGCACCUGGUGUAUUAAACUAAAUUGGUUUGUUCAAUUCUCAAAUAAAUUGUUACAUCCAAACAAUUUUUCAAUCAUUUUCAUGCCCUGGGUGGAGAAAGCAUUGCUACUGGGUCCAAUCCUUCAGACUUUAGACUUUGAAAUCAGUGGGAUUAGUUGUGUGUGCAAGGAUUGUACGAACUAGACCAACUCUUAUUUUGCAACAGGUUUAACAGGGUUUUUUCUUUGUUUUGUUUUGCGUAAUCAGUUGGGCAUUGUGCCAAGACUCCAGUGAUUAUAAAUGCAAAUUUGU